This 301-nucleotide ribosomal RNA is filed under the name uncultured bacterium. Its description in RNAcentral is "partial 16S ribosomal RNA". It matches the Rfam family "Bacterial small subunit ribosomal RNA", at positions 509 to 809 of the family's 1533-position model. The record is from RNAcentral.
CAGUCGCCGCGGUAAUACCGAGGGUGCGAGCGUUAAUCGGAUUUACUGGGCGUAAAGCGUGCGUAGGCGGCUUCUUAAGUCGGAUGUGAAAUCCCUGAGCUUAACUUAGGAAUUGCAUUCGAUACUGGGAAGCUAGAGUAUGGGAGAGGAUGGUAGAAUUCCAGGUGUAGCGGUGAAAUGCGUAGAGAUCUGGAGGAAUACCGAUGGCGAAGGCAGCCAUCUGGCCUAAUACUGACGCUGAGGUACGAAAGCAUGGGGAGCAAACAGGAUUAGAUACCCGAGUAGUCACUGUCUCUUAUAA